GUGUUGAAGCAGCUCACAGGGGACUACCUAUUGUGACUGUCAUUCCAACCUUUCCCAAAGAUGUCCAGUCGAGACUUGACAUCAAGGAACCAUGUCACACAGUGCCAAAAGUAUCCAACUAAUGCAGAGUAUAUUCAAGUUGCCAAGGCACUGAUAGUGAAAUACCCUUUCCUGAGGGAUAAGGAGGGAAAUGGCUAUCACACCUGGCACAUGUCUUUAAAGCGUAAAUUUAAAGC
Tachysurus vachellii is the source of this 236-nucleotide long non-coding RNA. RefSeq lists it as uncharacterized. The record is from RefSeq and is a predicted model, not a curated record. NCBI's taxonomy places the organism in Eukaryota, Metazoa, Chordata, Actinopteri, Siluriformes, Bagridae. The transcript has 3 exons.